Long non-coding RNA from Oxyura jamaicensis (ruddy duck), 1453 nucleotides. RefSeq lists it as uncharacterized. Lineage: Eukaryota; Metazoa; Chordata; Aves; Anseriformes; Anatidae. The record is from RefSeq and is a predicted model, not a curated record. The transcript is spliced from 3 exons.
GCAACCUGUGCCAGUGCCCUCAUCACAAAGAAUCUGUUCCCUAUAUCUAAUCUAAAUCUACCUUCUUUUAGAUUAAAACCAUUACUCCUUGUCCUAUCACCACACUUUAUCAUAAAGGCCCCCUCAUCUUUCUUGUAAGCUGCCUUUAAUUACCAGAAGGCUUUUAUAAGUUAUUCACAGAAAGUGGAAAGAUUUCUCCACUUUCUACUUACAAACACUUGUGAUAUAAAUGAAUAUGUGGAUUUCACAGAGGGAGGGACUCUGGUUACUGGAGCCGGGUGGCAGCGCUUUCCUGCGCUCCACUGCAGAACACGAGCUGCUUUUCCACAGCACUGCAAGAGGCUCUUCGCUGGGGCAGUGGAGAAAGGAAACAGCAGCCAGGAAACAUACCCAGAGGCACUUGUUUCAAUACUGAAUGUGCUGCACAGAAGAAGUGAGGCCUAUCUCAAUGACAAGGAAUUUCCAGUCCGUGGAGGAGACACCGAGAAAUCAGAAAGCAUAUGUGCUGUGAAGGGUAUACGGAUGGGCAUGACCCAUGAUCAUAUGCUUACUUCUCUGAAAAUUAAGCUCAUUUCCUGUACAUAUUGUGAAAAAGAAAAAAAAAAAAGUGUGGUUUUAAGGAGGAAGUUUACAGUAGAAAAGGUAACGGUUUGGUGAUCUGGGAUUAGGAUAGAGCUGUGCAAACCACGUUAAUCAAGAAUCAGUAAAAUAUCCUUAUUACAGACCUUCAGUGGAGCGCAUAGAAAGUUCUGAACAGCACCGACCGAUAAAAUGGAGCUGCUCUGCUUCAAGCAAUGAGAAAUGCAAGGCUCUCCACAUGGUAUCUAAACUACAAACAAAAUCUAAUUCACUCCACUACACUAACGCAGGAUUUAAGAUUUAAGGAUUUAAGGAGGAAAAUUACUUCCUGGCUUCAGUGAGGGUUCGUUUUAUGUGUUCCAACACCGACAGCAGUGAAAAUACUUUUUCCUCAUGUAACUUUACUCUCGUGGUCCUUUCUUUUUCUUUACUUGCAUGUUAUGUGAACUUCCCAAAAUGAACUAUUGUUUCUUCUUUCUUUCACUCAAAUUAGUGCAAGAAAGGAGUGUUAAAUAGGGUUAAAAUACCAAAGCGAUGACCUCACACAAUGCUUGUGUUUGUUUUUUUGGUUGAAACUGUAAGAUUUUGAGGCUGUAUCUCCUGAACUUUGGAAGCAGUCAUUGAUCGUGUAGGAAGCAUGCCCAAUUCUGAAAACUUUUGGAUUUUAAUUGCAUUUUUAAGGACAAUUAUCAUCUUCUUCUGCUGGAAUAAAUGAAAAUAUCCAUAGAUUCUGAAUUCUGUCCAAAGCAGUGAAGCCAUAUGUUAAGAAGCCAAAGUUGUAAGCUGAAAAACUGUAGAAAUAUUCCAGAUUCUCUAUGAUUAAGCCAUUUCAUACAUUCAAGUUAUAAAUAACUAUUUUUCCAAUGCUUCAAAA